GACGAACGCUGGCGGCGUGCUUAACACAUGCAAGUCGAACGGAAAGGCCCUGCUUUUGUGUACUCGUCUGGUGACCGGCUGAUUAAUAACUCAUUAAUCUACUCCCCUUUUUUGUAUAAUUUCUUCAGACUACUGCUGCUACUACCUAGUAGCUCCUCCUGCUUCGUGGUGGUUGCUAAGUUUUGGCGGCUGGGGAUGGACUCCCGGCUUAUCAGCUUGUUGUUGGGGUAGUGGUUCAUCAAGGCGUUGACGGGUAGCCGGCCUGAGAGGGUGAGAGGCCACAGGGGGAAUGAGAUACGGCCGAGACUGCUACGGGAGGCAGAAGUGGGGAAGAUUGCACAAGGGGCGGAAGCCGGAUGCAGCAACGCCGCGUGCGGGAUGACGGAAUUCGGGUUGUAAACCGAUUUCGCCUGUGACGAAGCGUGAGUGACGGUAAUGGGUAAAGAAGCACCGGCUAACUACGUG
RNAcentral lists this ribosomal RNA (465 nucleotides) under uncultured bacterium. RNAcentral's name for it is "partial 16S ribosomal RNA". It matches the Rfam family "Bacterial small subunit ribosomal RNA", at positions 28 to 507 of the family's 1533-position model. The record is from RNAcentral.